AUCCGGGUUGCGGACAGUGUCUGGUGGGUAGUUUGACUGGGGCGGUCUCCUCCUAAAGAGUAACGGAGGAGCACGAAGGUUGGCUAAUCCUGGUCGGACAUCAGGAGGUUAGUGCAAUGGCAUAAGCCAGCUUGACUGCGAGCGUGACGGCGCGAGCAGGUGCGAAAGCAGGUCAUAGUGAUCCGGUGGUUCUGAAUGGAAGGGCCAUCGCUCAACGGAUAAAAGGUACUCCGGGGAUAACAGGCUGAUACCGCCCAAGAGUUCAUAUCGACGGCGGUGUUUGGCACCUCGAUGUCGGCUCAUCACAUCCUGGGGCUGAAGUAGGUCCCAAGGGUAUGGCUGUUCGCCAUUUAAAGUGGUACGCGAGCUGGGUUUAGAACGUCGUGAGACAGUUCGGUCCCUAUCUGCCGUGGGCGCUGGAGAACUGAGGGGGGCUGCUCCUAGUACGAGAGGACCGGAGUGGACGCAUCACUGGUGUUCGGGUUGUCAUGCCAAUGGCACUGCCCGGUAGCUAAAUGCGGAAGAGAUAAGUGCUGAAAGCAUCUAAGCACGAAACUUGCCCCGAGAUGAGUUCUCCCUGAGACUUAGAGUCUCCUGAAGGAACGUUGAAGACGACGACGUUGAUAGGCCGGGUGUGUAAGCGCAGCGAUGCGUUGAGCUAACCGGUACUAAUGAACCGUGAGGCUUAACCUUACA
Molecule: ribosomal RNA, 696 nt
Filed under: Salmonella enterica subsp. enterica serovar Derby
Lineage: Bacteria; Pseudomonadati; Pseudomonadota; Gammaproteobacteria; Enterobacterales; Enterobacteriaceae
Also listed under: 9 other names
Description: partial 23S ribosomal RNA
Rfam family: Bacterial large subunit ribosomal RNA
Source: RNAcentral